RNAcentral lists this transfer RNA (72 nucleotides) under Bacteroidales bacterium. Its description in RNAcentral is "tRNA-Arg". It matches the Rfam family "tRNA". From Rfam's summary of the family: Transfer RNA (tRNA) molecules are approximately 80 nucleotides in length. Their secondary structure includes four short double-helical elements and three loops (D, anti-codon, and T loops). Lineage: Bacteria; Pseudomonadati; Bacteroidota; Bacteroidia; Bacteroidales. The record is from RNAcentral.
GGCCUCGUAGUUCAACGGAUAGAAUAAAGGAUUCCGGUUCCUUAGAUCUGGGUUCGAUUCCCAGCGAGGUUA